GAAGCUUAGUGGUAAAGAAUCUGCUUUGCAUGCAGGAGGUCACAGGUUCAAUCCUUGGUAUUGCCA
Podarcis lilfordi (Lilford's wall lizard) is the source of this 66-nucleotide non-coding RNA. The record is from the annotation of a GenBank genome assembly. NCBI's taxonomy places the organism in Eukaryota, Metazoa, Chordata, Lepidosauria, Squamata, Lacertidae.